Molecule: ribosomal RNA, 877 nt
Filed under: Apiospora rasikravindrae
Lineage: Eukaryota; Fungi; Ascomycota; Sordariomycetes; Amphisphaeriales; Apiosporaceae
Description: Arthrinium rasikravindrae partial large subunit ribosomal RNA
Rfam family: Eukaryotic large subunit ribosomal RNA
Source: RNAcentral
CAAUACGGAGGAAAGAACCAACAGGGAUUCCCCUAGUAACGGCGAGUGAAGCGGGAACAGCUCAAAUUUGAAAUCUGGCCCUUGGGUCCGAGUUGUAAUUUGCAGAGGAUGCUUUUGGUGCGGUGCCUUCCGAGUUCCCUGGAACGGGACGCCUUAGAGGGUGAGAGCCCCGUACGGUUGGCCACCAAGCCUGUGUAAAGCUCCUUCGACGAGUCGAGUAGUUUGGGAAUGCUGCUCAAAAUGGGAGGUAUAUUUCUUCUAAAGCUAAAUACUGGCCAGAGACCGAUAGCGCACAAGUAGAGUGAUCGAAAGAUGAAAAGCACUUUGAAAAGAGGGUUAAAUAGCACGUGAAAUUGUUGAAAGGGAAGGAUUUAUGACCAGACUUUUUCUAGGGGGAUCAUCCGGUGUUCUCACCGGUGCACUUCCCCUAGUUGAGGCCAGCAUCGGUUUCUGUCGGGGGAUAAAAGCUUCAGGAAUGUGGCUCCCUCCGGGGAGUGUUAUAGCCUGUUGCAUAAUACCCUGACGGGGACCGAGGUUCGCGCAUUGCAAGGAUGCUGGCGUAAUGGUUAUUAAUCACCCGUCUUGAAACACGGACCAAGGAGUCGAACAUUUGUGCGAGUGUUUGGGUGUUAAACCCUCACGCGUAAUGAAAGUGAACGGAGGUGAGAGCCCUUCGGGGUGCAUCAUCGACCGAUCCUGAUGUCUUCGGAUGGAUUUGAGUAAGAGCAUAACUGUUCGGACCCGAAAGAUGGUGAACUAUGCGUGGAUAGGGUGAAGCCAGAGGAAACUCUGGUGGAGGCUCGCAGCGGUUCUGACGUGCAAAUCGAUCGUCAAAUCUGCGCAUGGGGGCGAAAGACUAAUCGAACAUCUAGAGUGU